Molecule: ribosomal RNA, 254 nt
Filed under: uncultured bacterium
Lineage: Bacteria
Description: partial 16S ribosomal RNA
Rfam family: Bacterial small subunit ribosomal RNA
Source: RNAcentral
UACAGAGGGUGCGAGCGUUGUCCGGAAUUAUUGGGCGUAAAGAGCUCGUAGGCGGUCUGUCGCGUCGGUCGUGAAAACUUGGGGCUUAACCCUGAGCUUGCGGUCGAUACGGGCAUGACUGGAGUUCGGUAGGGGAGACUGGAAUUCCUGGUGUAGCGGUGAAAUGCGCAGAUAUCAGGAGGAACACCGGUGGCGAAGGCGGGUCUCUGGGCCGAUACUGACGCUGAGGAGCGAAAGCGUGGGGAGCGAACAGG